UGGGGAAUAUUGCACAAUGGGCGCAAGCCUGAUGCAGCCAUGCCGCGUGUGUGAAGAAGGCCUUCGGGUUGUAAAGCACUUUCAGCGAGGAGGAAGGUGGUGAGCUUAAUACGCUCAUCAAUUGACGUUACUCGCAGAAGAAGCACCGGCUAACUCCGUGCCAGCAGCCGCGGUAAUACAGAGGGUGCAAGCGUUAAUCGGAAUUACUGGGCGUAAAGCGCACGCAGGCGGUUUGUUAAGUCAGAUGUGAAAUCCCCGGGCUCAACCUGGGAACUGCAUUUGAAACUGGCAAGCUAGAGUCUCGUAGAGGGGGGUAGAAUUCCAGGUGUAGCGGUGAAAUGCGUAGAGAUCUGGAGGAAUACCGGUGGCGAAGGCGGCCCCCCUGGACGAAGACUGACGCUCAGGUGCGAAAGCGUGGGGAGCAAACAGGAUUAGAUACCCUGGUAGUCCACGCUGUAAACGAUGUCGAUUUUGGAGGUUGUGCCCUUGAGGCGUGGNUUCCGGAGCUAACGCGUUAAAUCGACCG
This 526-nucleotide ribosomal RNA is filed under the name uncultured bacterium. RNAcentral describes it as "partial 16S ribosomal RNA". It matches the Rfam family "Bacterial small subunit ribosomal RNA", at positions 355 to 871 of the family's 1533-position model. The record is from RNAcentral.